UCUCCCAGCCCUGACAUUUUCCUCUCCUUUGCACCUUUCAUCCCCUGACACACUAUAUAGGUUAUGCAUGCACCUCGCUUAUUAUCUAUUUUCUUCUCUCCCAUGAUCCUUAGCUCCUACAGUGGAUCCUGGCUCACAGGGCUCAGUGAAUGAAGAAUGAAGAAUGAAUGAAUGAGAGAAAUGAGACAGCAAAGAGUGUUUCAGUUCUCUGCUUGGUCGGCGUGCAUUCUCCCCACACCCUCCUCGCUGCUGGUAAGGAAGAACUGGAAGGAAGAGGAGCUACCUAUCAGGCAUGGGCAGGCAGGAAACAGGGCGAUAUUCUACAAAACCUGUCUCCUUGUCUCGCACGCCUGCCCUACUGUCCCAUCAGACUUCAUUUACAAAACAUAAUAUGACAUAGAAAAUAAAUGAGCUGUCCUGCCCAGAUUUUAGAAUGGUGAGCAAAUAAACAGUUCUUUUGAGCCA
Molecule: long non-coding RNA, 465 nt
Organism: Chinchilla lanigera (long-tailed chinchilla)
Lineage: Eukaryota; Metazoa; Chordata; Mammalia; Rodentia; Chinchillidae
Exons: 2
Source: RefSeq, a predicted model, not a curated record